Molecule: ribosomal RNA, 253 nt
Filed under: uncultured bacterium
Lineage: Bacteria
Description: partial 16S ribosomal RNA
Rfam family: Bacterial small subunit ribosomal RNA
Source: RNAcentral
UACAGAGGGUGCAAGCGUUAAUCGGAAUUACUGGGCGUAAAGCGUGCGUAGACGGUUAUGUAAGUCAGGUGUGAAAGCCCCGGGCUCAACCUGGGAAUUGCAUUUGAGACUGCAUAGCUAGGGUGCGGAAGAGGGAAGCGGAAUUUCCGGUGUAGCGGUGAAAUGCGUAGAUAUCGGAAGGAACAUCAGUGGCGAAAGCGGCUUCCUGGUCCAGCACCGACUUUCAGGCACGAAAGCGUGGGGAGCAAACAGG